GGGUCAUUUGGGUGAAUAACCAAAACAAGAAUGGAAAUUGGCAAAGUGUGCAAUAUUUUAAAAAAUUUGCGAACUAGGUGAUAGAAAAUGAGAAAAUUACAUGAGUAACCUCUAGUUGAAAUUAGAAACUAUUUGAUUUGCCCGUUGCCGGUUAUUUUGUCUUUUUAUGACAUCCACAUGUUUUUCCAUGGCGUGAAGUCUUCGUCGCGGCUCCAUUCUCAGCGUCACGAAUUGGUGUGAUAGAUUUCAGCCACUGAUGUCGCUUCUUCCUCUACGCCAUGCUCUCAUUUCCAAGCCGUGGUCUCCGCCAUCGCCAUCGUCAGAAUCAGCCUCAGAUUACACAAAGAGAAAGCUCGUUGUUUUCAAUGGUGGAUUUUAUAAUAUUUGCCGGACAGGUCCCUGAACUUCUAAUUCUUUACAAAAUGGCCCAGGAUUUUCUAAAGUGCAGAAACAUCCUUAAUUUAGCCCCUUAGCUUUUAAUUGUGACAAUAUAGACCCCCCGUGUAUUUUUGUCUUUUGCACCAUUGAUCCCUGUAUUUUCUUCUUAUUUCGUCUUGGCCCCAACUGUUUCUGUUUUGCAAAUAUUCUAAACUUCACCAUUGGAGAGAACCGUGCUUUCUCUCUGCAGAAUCUGAUGGCGAGCUUGAUUCCGACGAUGAGCACGGCCACGACGGUGAGCUGAUCACGGUGAAGAGGUGACUUGGAAGAAAGACCACGUGGUGUUGAAUCAAAGUCGGGUGGAGGUCGUCGAUGGUUCAGAGCUGGAUGCUGCUUCGUUUACAAAGCACGACGGAGAGUUCGGUGGCGGAGUUUGGUGGUCGUGGCUUGCAGAAGACGGUGGCGCGCUCUCGGAUUUGUCUUUUUACAACGGGGAAGCUUGGUUUCGCAGUGAGGACAGGAGACAUAAAUUUAGAUAGAUUUUGGGUUGCACAUAUAGAAGAGGAAUAUGAGAGGAGAUCCAAUUUCGUGGAAGUUUUUUUAGAGAAAGUUAGAAUUUAUCAGAAAGAAGGGAGAAACAGAAAC
This 1023-nucleotide long non-coding RNA is filed under the name Brassica rapa (field mustard). RNAcentral's name for it is "long non-coding RNA (BRAP_LNC000566)". Lineage: Eukaryota; Viridiplantae; Streptophyta; Magnoliopsida; Brassicales; Brassicaceae. The record is from RNAcentral.